UCCCUUGUGGUGGGUGUUGGGGUAUGAGGGGACAAAGAAAGCAUUCACAAACAUGUGACCCGGGUACUUGACUUAAGAAUGUCAACAACAGAUAAGGCUUGUCAGUCAUGUUCUGCGAGAUCAGAGGGUUAUUGGGAGCCAAAACACACUUGAGGUUGAGACCUUGGUGCGAAGAUGCAGCUGACUGCAACAUUGGCGCCUCUUGACCGGCCAGGGACCUUCGACCUUUAGUGUAGAUGCUUCGCCAGACAAGCUCUGACCUGCUGUAUGCAUCCAUUUCAGUUCGCGGAGUGUCGUGCAUUGACUACACAGCAUUGCCCUCUGAAGUCAUGCUGCUGUCAAGGAGCACAUUCCAGGGCACGGCCCCUGACCAGUCCACUGGCCUUAGAAGGAAUGACCUGUUUGGCUUGAGGGGAAUGGUUUAAACAAGCUGAGGAACUUGACCCGAAGGUGGACUGCGCAGAGAAAAAUGUAGAUAUUUGUUCCAGGAGGAGGCUGUAUAAUUCACUCAAAAGGCUGCUUGUCCCUGCAUCUGCAGAACAGAUACAGAGGACACUUCUUCCAUCCAGAGCAGCGAUACAAGCCUGCGUAGGCUCUUUCGUCUUCGUCAAAGAAUGGCAUCUGUUUCACUAUCAGAACCGCCGGACGGACCGUAAUGAAUGACCAGGUUGUCUUCAAGCCCAUCUCCAUGAUUGAUGCAGUGAUGCUGUACCUGAGCAGAGCCAGAGAUCGGCUCACGGCAAUGGAAAAUCACAUGAACCCAGGUAUUUGGAGUUCUUCAAUCCUCAACACUUGAGGAAGAAUUCAAAAACACUCCUCCAUUUUCUUGCCAGAAUUAAAUGUGCUACCAUGAACCUUUAAGGGUGGUAUGCUUUUAAAAAGAAGACAGAAGGUCUUACCUCUGACCAAAUAUGGAAUGUUGUUUAUCCAUUCUUCGAGCAAAAAUUUGUAUUCAAACGCCCUAUUAGACUGUGCAAUUCAUAUCCUUUCACCCACAGACCGCAUCUGCAGAGGUGGGAGGUCCUCUGGUGAGAAUGAUGUCAUUUAUCUUCACUGUUUGUCAGGGGGAUUCCGUAUCGUCUGGUCAUUCAGUGGAGCUGGAUGGUUGCCAAGACCAGGGGCUAUUUCAGGGUCUGGAAACUGGGAAAGCCGUGACGUCAGAGCCAUGUUUUUGGAUAUCAACUCCGGAAACUGAUAAUGAUUGUACCCAUAUAGAGAUCAUACCAAUCUUACAUUUUCAUGACCAGUGGACAAAGUAUUAAUUUACUUACUCUACUAAUACUGUAAAUGCACUAUGCAUAUGAAGCAUCUGAAAACACAACAACUGAAGGAGAGGAGGUAGUCAGUUUAAGUAGUUUUAUUACAGACACAUUUUUCUGUUCUAUUUUAGAGAUUUCAUACGUGCUAAUGCCCAGACUUGAAGCUUCUAUUUAGCUUGUUAAAAAGUUAGAUUUAUUUGACAGUUUAAUGUCUUUUGAAAUAACCAGGCAAAAAACCUGGAAAUAUCAAUAUUUCUACCAAAAAAAAAACCAAACCUGUCAACAAGCGCAUAGAUUACUGCAGUUUCUCUGUGAAAGGAGAGUAUGAGAGGAGGGGUGGGGGGAAUUGAGCAUGUGGUAAAGACAUUUAAACUAUACUUUUCAAAGACAGCACAACAUUUUUUUCACAUUAAUAACAUAGCCAUGAUGACAUUGAAUCAGGUAACAGUCUGUUGUUUGUGAUGGCUUGUGAAAUGUUUGAUAUAAUAGCAGGUUCUAAUGUUCGAGAAUUCAUCAUUUCAAGAGGAGUGCCUGGCUCCUGCUGUGUACCAUUAACUUUUUUCCACGGAUUUGUGAAAUCCAGUUCCUUUUCUUGUGUAGACUUUAUGAGACUAAGCUUUAUGAGACUAUCUUGCACUGCUUUUACCUUUUUCAAUCUGUUUUGCAUUGAAGCAUAUUGUGCAUUGCUACCGGAAAUUAAAACAUUUCUCUAUGUCCUUCUUAUCUGUUUUGCAAUACCAAUGUCUGAUGAUAUCAAGUACUCUACAUAAUGCAUAAUUGUGGUUUUUACUGGCUUAUUUCUGAUGUAUUUAGACAAUAGCCAAGUGUCAGAAGCACAAGCCAUGCCUGUAUUUGCAUAAGGGAGUGUGAUAAUAGAGAGAAUUUAAUGAUUCAGGCAGAUGUGCUGCCCUCAUCCGCUACAUGGAAUGAGUGGCAUCCAUAGUGGUCCAUUCUUACCCUUCCAUUCCAUUAACAUGCUCAGUCAACACUGGCACCAUUAGAUGAAGGAAUGAAUACCUGGCUUAUCGUAACUGUUUGCCCAUGGCUUACAGGUGCUCACCAGCUUAUACUAAUAGCUGAAAGAAUGCCUGAACUCAAAUAUUUAAAUAUUUAAAUACUUGCAGGUGACAGCUUUGGUGGGAACGAAUGUGAAAAGUGAAAAGUUGUGAAGUGUAUUCCAGGAACACUAAAUUGCGAACAUUAUUUAGGUAUCAAACUCAUUAUAUUUAGAUUCUAAAGAUAGAUGCCCACUCUCCAAUGGGGAAAGAAAUGUAAAAAAGAACAUACAUGUGUAAUUGGCAGAGAAAUUACAUAUCUGUUCUGUGUGGUACUGUCUCUUUGCUCUCUGCUUGAGGAGUAUAAGAUUAGUAAUUUAUUUAUAAUUUAACAUCACUGUUUGUGAGUUUGUUGAUGUUUAUCAAAAUUGGGCCAUGUACACUUGAGAAAGCAUUUUGUGGGAGAGAAGCAAAAGACAUUUCGUAUCAAUUAAUCUGAACUGAAAAAAAAUGCUUCAUUGGAUAAACCCAAAGCUUUGCUUUGCUUUUUAAAUUUUCUCCACUGAAAAUAUGUAGGUUCAUUGAAAUUAUUAUCAUAUUAUCAUGACUGCCCUCAAUCACCCACUAUCAGAUGAUUGCUCACCCCCCCCCCCCAAAACAAACGUAAUUUGUCCUAACAUUGGAGUGUCUUGGGUGGCACAGGGCUUAAAGGCUCAUUCGGAGAAACAAUGGCCGCUUGUUAGCCCUCCUCGGGACCAAACCAGCUUGUUCCUAGGGAGACCCUGAAGCUCAAGGCAUUCCAGGCAUUCCGGGGGACAAUGCUGACAGGGCCUUACAGCAGGGAUCAAACCAGCCUCCAGAAAGCAGCUUUCGCCCUGCCAAGUCUGUUAUGUAAUUAAUGUCUUCCCGUUUGCCUGCUGUUGGGCUCUGGCUGCCUCGCCGUGAUGCCGACCAGAAGCGAGGAGACUCACCCAUAUAAGGGCAAGGCUACUGUUUCGGCGCGGAGCCGUCCUUUUCCACGGAAGCCCCGGGCAGAGACGUUGAAUCCUGAUUGUACCAGUGCUACCUGGCUGGCAGCUCUCCAGUGUGGUGCAUAAUUGGCUGUAGCAUUGCCCAGGGUUGGAAGAUUGAAGUCAGCAGGGUUCUUCUCACCUUAUUGCACAAGAGUAGCUGUCUGGAAGUAAGUAAAAGUUAAGUAAGUAAGUACAAUAAAUAAGUAAGUGAGUAAGCAAAUAAGCAAGCAAGUAAGGUAGUACAGUAAGUAAAGUAAGUAGGGUAAAUAAUGAUGACUGGCUUAUAAUGACUCAUAAGUCAGUCCUUUAACUGGCUACAGUUAGUUCUCAAACAGCAGGCUAUUCCUUUGAGUAAAUAUCGGUUUUCUGAACGUUUUCUUUGCUUUGUGCUUUUUCAUUUCAUUUCCAUGCUGCGCUGGGACUCAUAUGUGAGCCCACAGCUGACCCUAGUGGACAAAGGCCAAGCUGAAAGGACUUCAAAUAGUUAUUACUCCACUGAGGGGGAAAGGGGAUGGAAGUAGCCUCUAAGUCGCAGACCACAAUGAAGUGACUCAUUACCCCUCUGGGGUGUCUGGCUGCAACAGUAAGACAUGUUUUUGGACAGUGUCCAGCAGUGGAAAUGGUUUGCGUUCUAAGAAGAGAUUAGAAAAGCAUUGCACAUAUAUCUUGGUCGACAACUGUAUGGUGUGAUUCCACACAGUUAGGCCCCACCCACACACCUCAAUUGGUCAUAAAGAGGUUAUUCCCCCAAGGUUAAGCAAUUAAGUACCUCUGCUUGCAGAAAGCUUUCAGAAUUCACUGUAUUGUUCUCCUAACGGUAUAUUAUGAGAAGCACAUGCAUUGUCUUUUUCAAUAAAAUGAAUACUGUGCAGUGCUGGCUCUUUGUUACAUUUCAAUCGCAUUUUGGAUACAUUAGCAAAUCGUUUUCUCUGAACUGGGUGCAAAUCCCUUACUGUACAUAAUUUUCAGCUUAAACCAAAUGUGCUAUUCAAUGGCAGUGUGCUGGCUCGGAAUCAUUGGUACAUGGCUAUUAUAUACAAGCUUUCAAAUUCAUGAAAAACCCAGAGUACUCAGUAUUCUCAGUAUAUGGCAUAGGAUCAGAACUGGGUCAAAUGCGUUUAUUUUUUAGAUUCAAAUA
Molecule: long non-coding RNA, 4405 nt
Organism: Anguilla anguilla (European eel)
Lineage: Eukaryota; Metazoa; Chordata; Actinopteri; Anguilliformes; Anguillidae
Exons: 5
Source: RefSeq, a predicted model, not a curated record